GUGGUUCUGAGGUGAAGUCAUAAAAGGCUACACAGCUUCUGCUAGACCCUCUUGGGAUGUUCUUGCUUGGAACCAAGAAGCCACCUGGAGACCCCACACAGCCUUUCCAGCUGACAGCCCCUGCUGAGGUCCCAGCAGAUGGCACAUCCACAGUGAGUGGAAUCCAGCCACCAUGCUAUGAGCCACCUAACCAGGCAAAAAGAAAUGAAGCCUUCUCUGAACCAGUCCCAAGAAGUCUCAACUUUAAAGCAUUAACUCCCCAAAUGAACUCACUUUCAUUUCAUCUUCUCAUAUGUCAUUGCAUUCUCAACAAACCAGAUCUAUAGGAUGGAUCAGUCAAAGCUUACAAAGAAAUCUAAUUAGGUAUGGAAUAUGAACUUUUUAUUUGAUAAAUAACUUAGCUGGAGAUACAUUGAGAGUUACUCUAUAAGAAUAAAAGAAAGAAACGUCAUAAUUGCUGGA
Long non-coding RNA from Symphalangus syndactylus (siamang), 462 nucleotides. RefSeq lists it as uncharacterized. Lineage: Eukaryota; Metazoa; Chordata; Mammalia; Primates; Hylobatidae. The record is from RefSeq and is a predicted model, not a curated record.